UAAGUAGAAUAAAUGAUCGCGGAUGACAAAACGAAAGGUGUCAUACGAGGAAAGUCCGGGCUUCACAGGGCAGGAUGCCAGAUAACGUCUGGUGGAGGCGACUCCAAGGAUAGUGCAACAGAAAUAUACCGCCAGCUUUGCUGGUAAGGGUGGAAGGGCAGUGUAAGAGACUACCGCCUUUUUGGUAACAAAGAGGGCAUAUGUAAACCCCAUCCGAAGCAAGACCGAAAAAAAGCAUAUGGCGGCCCGUCAGCUUUAGGUAGGUCGCUGGAACCUGCUGGCGACAGCAGGUCUAGAUAGAUGAUCAUUCACGACAUAACCCGGCUUACCGUUCUGCUUAUGCA
This 344-nucleotide RNase P RNA is filed under the name Clostridiales bacterium. Its description in RNAcentral is "RNase P RNA component class A". It matches the Rfam family "Bacterial RNase P class A". Rfam says of the family: Ribonuclease P (RNase P) is a ubiquitous endoribonuclease, found in archaea, bacteria and eukarya as well as chloroplasts and mitochondria. Its best characterised activity is the generation of mature 5'-ends of tRNAs by cleaving the 5'-leader elements of precursor-tRNAs. Lineage: Bacteria; Bacillati; Bacillota; Clostridia; Eubacteriales. The record is from RNAcentral.